This 1307-nucleotide ribosomal RNA is filed under the name Cryptopone sauteri. RNAcentral's name for it is "16S ribosomal RNA". Lineage: Eukaryota; Metazoa; Arthropoda; Insecta; Hymenoptera; Formicidae. The record is from RNAcentral.
UUUAUAAAUUAGUAUAUAAUAAAUAGUUAGAUUAAUUAAUAUUAAAAUAAAUAAAAUUAUAAUAAAUAAUAAAGUUUAGCAUUUUAAUGGAUUAAAUUUGUUUAUUUAAAAUAGUAAUGUAAAUGAAAAUAAAAAAGAAUAAAAAAGAAUAUUUAAAUUAUAGUACCUUUUGUAUCAGGGUUAAUUAAAUUUAUAGUUAAAAUUUUAAUAAUUUCGAUUUUUAAAGAGCUUAUAAAAUUAAUAAAGUUAAAAUGUAAAAUUUAUUUUAAAUAAAUUAUAAGAAGAGAAAAUUAAAUUAAGUUUAAAAUAUAUCUAAUUUAUUUUUAGAUAAAUUGAAUUUAAUUUUAAUAAAAUUUUGUUAGUAAAAUUAAUUAUUGAUAAAAAUAUUAAAUUAAUAAAUUAUGGGUUAAUCUAUAAUUUAAAUUAAAAAUUAGGUAAAUUUUAAUUUUGUAUUUUUAAUAAUAAUUAUAUAAUUUAAUUAAUUAGAAAAAAAAUUUUAUAAUUUAUAAAAAAUAAUUCAUUAAAUUUUAAUAACCAAAUUUUAAAUAAGAAAAAAUAAAUUUAUAAAAAUUAUAAUAAAAAAAUUAUAAUGAUUAAAUUAGUAAUUAAGUUUAUAUAAAAUGAAUAAAAAAUAAAUAUAAAUUUUAAGAAUUAGGCAAAAUAAUUAGUUCACCUGUUUAACAAAAACAUGUUUUUUUGAAAAAUUAUGAUUUAAGAUUAUUUCUGCUCAAUGAAUAAUUAAAUAGCCGCAGUAAAUUGACUGUGCUAAGGUAGCAUAAUCAAUUGUUUUUUAAUUAAGGACUGGAAUGAAUGAAUUAAUGAAAUUAAGACUUUUUUAAAUUUAAAUAAUGAAUUUUUUUAUUAAAUAAAAAUAUUUGAAUGAAUUUAUGGGACGAGAAGACCCUAUAGAAUUUUAUAUUAAUUUUUAUAAAUAAUUUAUAAAAAUUAAUAUUUUAUUGGGAGGAUAAAUAAAUUUAAUAAACUUUAAUUAAAAAUAAACAUAAAUUAAUGAAAUAAAAUAAUAAAUGAUUUUAAUAAAAAAUUAAUUACCUUAGGGAUAACAGCAUAAUAUUAUUUUGUAGAUCAUAUAUAAAAUUAAUGAUUAUGACCUCGAUGUUGAAUUAAGAUAAAUUUUUUAAGGAGAAUUAAAAAUUUUAAGUCUGUUCGACUUUUAAAAUCUUACAUGAUUUGAGUUCAGAUCGGUGUGAGCCAGAUCGGUUUCUAUCUAUAAAAAUAAGAAUAUAUAAUUGUACGAAAGGACUUUAUAUAUGUUAAAAUUAAAUUAUUUAAUGAAUAAAAUUAAUUAU